RNAcentral lists this ribosomal RNA (440 nucleotides) under uncultured bacterium. Its description in RNAcentral is "partial 16S ribosomal RNA". It matches the Rfam family "Bacterial small subunit ribosomal RNA", at positions 338 to 795 of the family's 1533-position model. The record is from RNAcentral.
CCUACGUGGGGCAGCAGUGGGGGAUAUUGCACAAUGGGGGGAACCCUGAUGCAGCGACGCCGCGUGGGUGAAGAAGCGCCUCGGCGCGUAAAGCCCUGUCAGCAGGGAAGAAAAGGACGGUACCUGAAGAAGAAGCCCCGGCUAACUACGUGCCAGCAGCCGCGGUAAUACGUAGGGGGCAAGCGUUAUCCGGAUUUACUGGGUGUAAAGGGGGCGCAGACGGGGAUGCAAGCCAGGAGUGAAAGCCCGGGGCGCAACCCCGGGACUGCUCGUGGAACUGCGUGGCUGGAGUGCAGGAGGGGCAGGCGGAAUGCGUGGUGUAGCGGUGAAAUGCGUAGAUAUCAGGAGGAACCCCGGUGGCGAAGGCGGCCUGCCGGACUGCAACUGACGUUGAGGCCCGAAAGCGUGGGGAGCGAACAGAAUUAGAUACCCGAGUAGUC